GGAGCCCUGUCCAGCCUGACCUUAGUAUCCUUAGGUAGGAGAAGCUGAAGGAUGAGGAAGGUUUCUGCAUCUCAGUGAGUGGAGCAAAGGAAAGCAAGACUUCGGGUAUCGGUCUCAAUUUCUAAACCUUAGGUUUAUUCACCAAUUGCACAGCAGCACCAUGGAGCCACUUGCCAGAACUCAAGCGAAAUGUCACCUCGUGGGACAUGCCACCAGCCUCUUCCUUCCCACUGCUUUAUCCCCACAGACUGCACUGAUGGUGGAGGACAGAAGCUAUUUCUGGCAGUGUGAGGCUGCUGUCACACAUUCCUGCAAAGCCUUCCCUCUGUCGGGGAGCAGCCGCUGAUCAGCAGGGAUCCUCAUCCCACAGCUGGGAUGGGGAGGACACUUCCAGCCAGCCCUGCACAUGGGCACACGGAGUGACAGCUUCAGCUUUGCAUGGUCCUGGCCGUGUUUUACGGAAGCUUUGAGUAAAUGUGGAAAACACACAAUUAGAGGCCAUUGCGUGAUUGAUUUCUGGGCGCAGGGGCCUUUCCUCCUUGCCUGGAAGGCCUGGCAGGUAUUAUUUAAAGAGCUAAUGAAUGUUAAUGGGCACAUUAUUUGCAAAUCUUGAAGUGGAAUAUUAGAUCAGGGCUCCUGUGUGUCAUGGUAAUCAGCUUUCCCUCACUCGCUCUGGCUCGAGGGGGGGGAACACCCUGCAGUCGCUUUGUUAUAUGCUUUUCAGAUUAAUAUCCUUUUUCCAAUCCAGCAGCUUUUCGCUGGGUGUUUCAGUCAAAGAAGCAGAUGGCUCGCAUGCUGGUAUUUGAUGCCUGACCAAAGGGAUUGUCCUGCUCAAAACCGCCCCACCGGGAGUGAGGAGCAAGGAUCCUGCUUUGUCUUCUCCAGAGUGAAAAGAAGAAAGGAUGUGGGGAAGGAGCCAGGGAUGGGCUGGCAGUGGCUCACCUUGGGGAUGGAGGUUGGCCACUGAAGCCCUGAGCUGCGGCAGCAGGUUGGUUGCAUGGCAAGCGCCUGGACAGGUCUUCGUGCUGGGUUUGAGCUGUUCCUAAGCUUAUCUUGCAUCUUCUAUGAGACAGCCCUGCCCACCAUCCCCAUUUUUCGCACAUAUCUCCUUCCUUUCCCCUCCACUAUGCCCACAUCCCUCCAGGAACACCCAUCAGCCCUGUCCUGACCUCCAUGCAGGUUGGUGGCUGCCAACCAACACCUUGGUGUGCACCAACAGGCAGAAAGCCCCUGCUGAGCACCACAGGUGAGGCUUGAGUCUUCUCCGCCGUGCUUUCAGUAAGAACACAGGAAAAGAUUCAUCUCCUGCCCCAAAUCCUGGAUUUCCCAUAAGUCCCAGAAAUGUGUCACUCUGGGUCUGACUUUCCUAAUGGAGACUUUUCCAAGCUUCUGACAGAGGAAUGAAGCUGCUGCAGAGCAAGAAGCACAGCUCAGCCUGGCACAGAGGUCAACUUGCUCCAUAGCUCCCAACAUGAGCUGCAGAAGGACACAUGGCCGCUGGGUGACAGAGGACCAUAUUUAGGUGCUGGAAGUGUUGGUACUCCUGCAGAGAACCACGCAAGGUGGGAGCAGUUCCACCACCCCGGGUGCUCACACAUGCAGUGCAAGCAAAUGAUGGGGAAGGCACAGUGAUUCAUCAAAUCACUGCCAAAACAAAAUUCAUAACCCUCACUAUAUAUUUCCUGCAUCCUAGUUGGUGAAGCAGGAGGAUUUCUACCCAGCCUAAGAAGGGGGAGAGUUUUCUGCUCUGAUAUGUUUGUUCUGUUGCCUCCAGACGUCUUACUGUCUGCCACCCGUUCUCCUUAGCAUAUUGGUGCCAACCUACUUUGUAUUAACAGCAAUUCAAAUGUUAGCAGAUGCUGUCCAUGUUAAUCAAAAAGAAGCUUAAUACAAAUAUAUGAUUACUGUAUGAGUAUUGUAUAAGUGAUAUUCGGCUGUCUUAAGCUAAAAUAACAAUAUACACUUUUAUCCAAUCCUGAUACAUUUAUAAAUAUAUUUAAAUGGGUAUAAAUAUUUAUAAAUAGUUUCUGUAAUCUCCUGUAAUUAGGCUUUAAGCUCUGUGACAGGCAGCAUCUGUUUGAUCUGCGUGCGCUCGCCGUGUGCGUGUGUCAGGUUUCUCUAUUAAAGGCAGCGGAGCCGUGUGGGUGCCUCCGAGGAGCUGCAGGGCUGCAGGCAGCAGGACAGAGCGACAGAGGGACACACCGCGGGGACCGGGUGCAGCAGGGAUGCGUUGUGAGGGAGCCGUUCCUAAACCCUUCUAAUUUCUGCUCUGCAACUCUUUUGAUCGCGACUCUUUUUGGUUUGGGCAGACUGGCAGCAGGUAAAGGAUGAUCUGUGACCAUGUAAUGCUGCCAAGAGCUCCCAGCGGCACCUCCCUGUGCUUGGGAUCUCUGCUGAGUCAGAGAUGGGUGCCCGUACUGUUCCAUGUCCGUACUGACUGCUCAGGGCUGGGAGAUGUUGCUCAGAUGCCUACCAGUCAUUCAGCAGCACUGUGCGGUGACACAGCGCAGGCAGGACAGGAUGCUCUGCCUGUCCCACAUCAGGAUACCACAAGUAGAGCAGGGGACAUGAAGCCUGGGUGGCUUUUUGGACAAAUUCAGGCAGCGGGCACCUGCUUUGUUUGGCUGGAGAACCCACAGCAGCCAUUUGGGGGCAAUGACGCAGCUCAUGCUCUGGGCAGAUGCUACCAAGCGGCCUCAUGCCCUGUGGGCAUAAGAAGGGUGAAGAGAGGAUGGAGAGACAGCACUUGAGUGGCUCCACUCACAUCUAUGUCCUGGGGGAUGCCCAUGUGCACACAACCGGAGGGAUGUCCCCAACUCCCAUGGGUACCACCCUGCAAUCUCCACCUGUGUGCCUGGCUUGAGGGAUGAUAGGGGCACCCUGACCUGCCUGUUCAACCAGCCUGGACACAAAAGCAUGUGAGAGGAGUGUGUUUUGCCCAUGGCCCUGGGGUAAAACCAUGCCCUGGGGUAAAAACACAUCCUGGGAAGGUGGAGGAUCCUUUGCUGUUGGAUGGGGAAGUUUGUGGGAUGGAGACAAGUGCUGGGAAUUGCAGCAAGAUAAGACCCAACCAGGACCAGGGGCAGUGGGUUAUUGCCUUCUCCAGUUUGCAUCUUCAAAAACAGGAGAAGCAACUGAAAAAUACACACAUUGCAAGCUGAAAAGUUACCAAGUGAUCUUUGCUUUGCAGCUUUGCUCCUCAGCUGUGUAUCUUUAAUCUUACCAACGUCUUUAAUCAGAAGAAAAUCUGCUUUAUCCCUAAAGCCUGGGGUCUGAACAUGGGCCAUGCAAACAAAAGGAAGUGAUUGCACAGAGGGGGUUGUAUCCUCUGACCACAGCCACAAUCAGUGGCCUAUAAGGAUCCAAGUGCUUUGUGGGGUUCUUGGGCUGGGUUGGUUUUUUUGUGUGUUUUGUUAUUGUUUUGCUUUGUUGUUGUUUUUUUCUUUUUAAUGAGUUAGCAUGGCUUUCUACAGAUUUGCUCUUCCAUGGGCCUGUGGCGUAAGAAAUCACACAAUUGAUAGGGGAAGAAGUUUUGCAGCCAUUCCGCUCCCCUUAGCACACCUCUCCUGCAACACAGUCCUCCUAGUCUGCCUUUCUCCCUCCUCCCUGUGGCCGAAUGCUCUUGACAGCUUUUAGCAGUGAUAAAAAAGCUCAGAGAAAAUGAUGAGACCAGGAAAUAAUCCUGCGUUCAGCCUAGAAUAGGAGAGCAGGGAUGGCACCGAGGGAUUUCUGCAGCCCUCCUGCUGGCACGGGGCCCGUGGUGCCAUCUGCAGAUGGUGAUCCUGGGCACGGAGCGGGAUGGAAGUCACAGGUUUAACCAGAAACCUGAAACAGUGCUCCUUCCCAUCCUUCAAAAAAUUUGCAUCUUGCUUAGUCCAAAAUAUUCCCUUAAAAUGGUAACACUGAUUAAAUUUUAUGAACUGAAAAACGUGGAGGAAGGGUCUGAUUUUUAAUUUAGAAAAUGUCAGAAGCAUGUUUAGAGUUUUAAAUUACUUCUUUUUUUUUCUUUUAAUGCACAACCUGAGGAUUUUAAUUGCUUUUUAACACUGUCUCUCUUAUCAGGAAUAACACUCGAUGAAUAAUGGAAACUCUGGGUUGCCACCAAAGAGGUCCCAGACCUGCAGAAGAAGCAGUUGGAGGAGAGGUGAGACCUGGGCCGCCACCAGGAUACCUUUAUGGGCAUCCUGCAGAGGUGAGACCUAUGCGGAGCAUCCCAAUGGUGGCCAGGUAUGCAGAGGAGAGUGCUAAGGAUGCAAAGGUGAAAGGUGUUGGGAUGAAAGCGUUGGGAUUGGAUGGAUGAGCAUGGCAUAUUGGCUGGGUGAUGCCUGGGGGUGUGACUGGGGAAAGCUGUGUGAACAGGGUGGAAACCAGCUCCGUGCUGAGGGACUUGGAAUACUCCCUGAGCAAAAUGGUUAAAUGUCCAAACAACACUAAAAAUAGCUCCUUCUUGGGACAGCCAGGAGAAGCAAUGGUAGAUUCAAUCCUGUGCAGGCCACAGGGCUAAUUUAAAAUGUGAUUGAAGAGCCUCUCUAAAAGUGCCCAUCAUGUACUUAAAGUCGGUGGCAUUGUAGGACUUUUUUUUCUUAAAAAAAAAAAAAAAGAAAGAAAGAAAAAAAUGGAAAAGUUCAUUGCGACUUCAUUUCAAAAAGGCAAUCCACAUAAAAGUGGUGAGGCUUGUUAAAAAGAAAUUAAAAAGCAGCUGUCAAAAGGGUAAAAUUCUUCCAGGGGACAUAGACAUUGUUUAAAGAUCUUCUAUUAGAUGAUGAGAGUAGAUCUAUACAAUUAUCAAAAGAGACUUUAAAAGGGCAAAAAAUUAGCUGUUCUCAUUAAAGAACAGACUAAAGGAGUUUGUCAGAGGUAAAAUAGUAUCCUCCAGAAAGUGGAAGUCACGUCCAAAUGAGGAAAAUAAAAAAGAGCACAAGAUGACAAAUUAAACUUAAAACUACGAUAAAGGGGAGCCCUUUUUUUAUUAGCAGCUUUCUAAGGUAUAGAAAUCGCAUAAUUGACCCUUUUUGUCUAUCAUCUCAGCAGCAGGAGCUGUGGAGGGCCGGGGAGGGUCGAGGUGUGGGAUCAGAGCCUGAAUGUGCAAAAGAGGAUAAUACUGAAAAGGGCCCCAAACACCUCAAUAGUCAGAGCUGAUGGUGAAAAGCUGCAGCCGAACACCUCUGGACAGUAAAAUAAGAGGGAAUCCAGGAAAUGUGCAAAAUGAUGAGCACGGGUGAAGCCAUCUAUUUGUACUUUAAAUAGUCGUGAGCCUUCAAUGAGCUGUUACUGCCCAGGAAAGAUAACUUGGACCUUGCACAGCCAUCGUGUUAUGAAAACAUCGCCUCAGCGAUCUGUGAUGGCCUAAAAAGUAAAUUGAGCGUGGAAAUUUUUAGAGGAAAAUAAAAGUGUUAAACACAACAGAAGAGAUCAAUUUGUCAUUGAGCAGAUCAAUAAUUCACCUGCUACUUAAAUACUGCUCACAAAUCUGUUCCCUCCACUGGAAAGCAAAGAGAGGAAACGAGAAAGAAGGGGAGAUGCAGAGGAAGGCAGCAAAGAUGAGGGCUGGGAGCGGCUGGCAGGAAGGAGGACGUGUGAACCAGGCAAAAGAAAUGCUUUUUCGUAACAAUUUUGCAUAAUUAAACUUCUGCCAAAGGGCAUUGUAGAGUCUGGAUGGGCUGCGGAAUAACUGAGCAGCGAAAGGCAGAGCAUCCUCGGAGAUGCAGUGGGAUGCUUGGGGUCCCUCUGGCCUUGCAGCACCUCCCCAUAAGGAGUGUUGGCUCCUCUUAACUCUAGUUCUGGUUUGAAGCUUCGGGAAGGGAUCCAUCAGGAAACUCCUGAGAUGGGAGCGCGGGGCCAGGCUGCAACAUGAGCUCAGAGCAGAAGGAGGUCUACAUGGCACAGCAGGUCCAAACAGGAAACAGAGGGCUGCCUUUAGUACACAGCACGGGAUUUAGGGUUGAAAUGGUGGAGUCACUGUCCCAGGAGGCGUUCAAGAGCCAUGGAGAUGUGGCACUUGGGGAGAUGAUUAGUGGGCAUAGUGGGAUGGGUUGAUAGUUGGACUAGAUGAUCUUAGUGGUUUUUUCCAAUCCUGAUUCCAUGAUUCUAAAUACAGGCCCUUUUGCAUUAUAGGGUACACCCAGGUGGUUUUUGGUGCUAAGGUUGGGCCAAGUAUCCCCUAUUGAUGGGCUCUGCAACAGCAAGAGAUGCCAUGGGUAUCAACUGCCUAAUUCAUCUGCAAUAAAGAGUUGGAAGCCCUUACAGCCAAACCCAACAGUCAGUUCUCACACAUGCUGCACGUUUUUACAGCUCUGCCAACUGAUUUAUUGGAAAACAGAAAACUCUCAAAUUCUCAGAGCUAUAAAUGCUCUUUGUUUCAGUUCCUUCCUGACAAGCGUAUUUAUGAUGAUCACAAAGGAAAGAUCACAACAAAUCCUGGCAAAAAAUGGAAGCGAGAGGAGCGAGCCAAGCUGCAGAUAAUAAGUAACAAAUCAGGGAAAGGAGGAAGGUAAUGGUUGUGAUUAAAAAUCAGAUGCUAUGAAAUAAAGAACAAUUGAUGAGAGAAGUGAAAGUAUCCAUUUAAAAAACCCGUAUCCAAAUGCGUUAUGGACAACAAGAAAGCAUUUUAAAUUAUCUGGAACAUGAGAAAUUCUAGCAAAACGAUGAUGGUAGAGAUCCAUUUUUUGAUAGAUGUGGUAGUGCUGCCAAUAAUAACGCAGACGAUGCAGAAGGGCCCAAAACCUGCUCGGGGUCUGAAACACUGAAGACUACAUUUUUUCAGCUCACGGUCCCCACCAUUUUCUAUUCCAACAGCACUGCACACAGCAGUUACCAAAUUGUUAACAGUUUAAAAGAUGUUAAGCUGCCACCCUUAAUUAGCUGAAAUAAUUAUUAAUUUUUAAAGGCUUUCAAUUAAUUUUUAAACCAGUUUUCAUCUGCACAAUCAGCCAACUUGUUUAUAAAUUUGGGAAGAGAAAGCACUAAAUAUUUUACAGGAAUGACAGGGGGAAAAAAAAAAGAGGUGGUGUGGUACUUCUUAUGAGCUUGGAAAAAAGAUGCAUUUCCAAAAGCAGUUUGGGAGCCUGGGGUUUGCCUUUGAUGUAGAAGUUUAUUGCCUUUGUUAUUCUCUAAAAAAGUCGUGAGACGUUUUGAUUUGUUGGGUCGCAGUGGGUGGGAGGUGACGAGGAAGGUUUGGUUCGUGAUUUGUGAGGCUGUGGGUUGCUCUGGACAUUCAGGAUUUUCCUCUCGGUCAAACCGCCAUGACUCAAGCAGAAUAUUGGUAAAAGAGCCAUAAAAUUACCAGGGUCGCUGCGACACUCAUUUCAUUAUGAAUCCAGAUGCAAUACAAAUGAAAUGAUGUUUAAGCAGGGAAAUGAUGCACUCCAUCUCUACUGCAAAAUAUGAGUGUACAAAUGUGAAAAUUUGGGUUCCAAAAGGGCAUUUGUAAGAAAUAAUGCCUUCACCCCUGUAGUGCAGCACUUCUUGCUUGGCCAGGCUGGGGAGGCCGUGCCUGACAGAGAACAAAUUGCUGCUUGGCAUCCAUGCCUCACAUCGGUGCCUUCUGGCAUUGCCAUCUGCAUUUCAGCAGGGUCUCGUGUUACCUGUGUCCUGGAUUGUGACACCGAGCAAUGGUGGGAGCAGCUGGAGAGACCCCAAACUUUCCCCAGGGCAAAGCCAUCAGUGUGCAAGGGCACUGCUCUCAAGAACUGCAUGAGAUUCAGUAAUUAAAAGGAUUGAUCAUUUUUUGCAAUAGGGUUCGUAUGGCACAUAUAUAUAGAGAGAGAGAGAGAUGAGGUUACACAGAACCACCAGGUUCUUGGUCUACGUCUGCACCGAGCCCAAGCUGCAGGUUAUCCUGGGCAAAUGAGAGGUGGGAGCAGGGAUGCAGGUGCUGCCAACUUCCAUGCAUCCACCCCAGGGGCUAACAAAGCCCUGCUGCAAUAACGCUGUGUUCAAAACAAAACAGAGCAUGCUAUCCAACAAAAGAAAAUAAGGACAUGUAUCAACAGCAUAGCUGGAAAGUUUCAGUUUUAGCCUCUCCUCUGGUCCCUCUCUCUCCAUAUUGAAGACAUUCACCAUCUUUUGGCAACUCAGUGCUUUCCGAGGCAGUCUGGACAUGUGACAUCAUUCAUGUUGAUGCAGCACAAUCAUUAAAGAUUUUUUUUUUCUUUGCCAUAAUGGGUUUCAUUUUGAAUAGAGUGUGCUGAUGGGAAAUAUCCAUCGUGGUGGGAGCGUGCAGUUCCCAGCACUGCAGCAGGAGUGGGGUGCUCCAUCAACUGCACCCCUGGGAUGAGCUCUCCAGACUAGAGCUGCAGCUGCUGCUUGUUCAUCCCCACACAUAUGGGGCUGUUGGGCCCUGGUGGGCACCGGGGAUGGAUGAGCAGACAGCCUGGCUGGGAAGCUGAUGAGACUGUAGGAGCUGGGGUUUGAAAUUGGGUGUCCUGCAAUGUGUGGCCUGAAUCGAGCACUCCCGCUUCCAAAAUCCUAGGAGAGCAGCUCAGAACACAUCAGUGGUCACACUUCCAGCCCAGCCAAAUUUGUAGAAAAAGUCAGAAAGCCAUAAAAAUAAGGCAGCAGUGUUGGCUGUUGUUCACCAUUGCUAGUGCACAUCCCAGCCCAUUCCCAUGGCAGGUGCUCUCCGGUCAGGGUGGGUGAGAGGGGAGCACAGGUUCUUCCAAUCACCACCAGAGCCCUGAAGUUCCCACCAGUGGGUAACACCUUAAAGCUGAGCUGCACAGAGUGCAGAAGGAUGGGCUAUAUCUGGACGUGCUGAAAUAUUUGUCUUGUGCUCAUACAGACCCAGCCUGCCUUGCACGCCUGUUUGCCUAACUGAUGGAGGCUUGAUAGCUGCAGCAGGGAGCUCAUUAAUUGAAUUCCAAAGGGAUUAAUUACGGCAGGAAUAAGAGGGCUCUCUGUCAUCUUGCAGGUUUUUCCAUGCUGCUGGAUUUGAGGGGCCUGGAAUGUGGUGAAGGCUGGAGGAGACCAUGGUAUCUCUGCUGUGACACUGCUGUCCUGCUGGGCACAGAGAGGGGUAACACCAGGUCUCAGUGGGACACCAUCUGCUGUUUCCUUUAUCUGGACAACGGAGAGGUGUUGAGGUGAGUGGAAGGAGGUGGGGAUGGUUCUGUGCUCCCCUCAGGAUAGCAGCUGGAUGGCCAAGCAGCAGCACCAGCACAUGGCAUGAUGUGGUGAGACCUCAGGGCACGCAUCCAGCAGCACAAUGACAGCCAUGUUCACCAAGGUUUAUCCCCACCAUGCCACGGGGUGCUUUGCAGGCUGGGUAUGGACAUAAGGAGCCCAACAGCUGCAAAAACCUGCCCUGGUAAAGUGCUUGGCAUGCAGGGUGCUGCUGCAGAGCAUUUCCUUUGGCCCUGCGACCCAUCCAGCCAAGCCCCAGGGAGGAACCAGGAUUUCCUGUGUUUAAAAAUACACAUUUUUAUAUGCAUAUAUAUAAACAUAAUCCUCCUUCCCUCUUUCAGAAGUCAAAAUUAACUCCAGCUGUGCCAGUGAUACAGUUCACUGUGCAGACCCGCAGAUGUGGGAAGGUGCUGCCAGAAAAACAGUGAAGGGGCUUAAAGACUUCCCUGACCACCACAGAUGCUGGGAAAAAGGCAUUCCGUGCUGCUACACUCUAAACCAACCCCUGGCCCUGCCUAUUCAACAGCUUUACUGCUUGACACGCCAUGCAGAAAAUGGUUCUUGGCUGUUAAAAGGUUUUAGCGCAGUUGUGGGAGGACUUUUUGCCUGGCCCUGGCUGUGCUCUGCCUUAGGGACAUGGUGGCAGUUUGAGGAUGCCUGAAGCAGGAGCCCUGGGUCCCAUCACCCAGCGCUGCUGAUGCUGCAGGGAGGCCAAGUGGUUUUUUCAUAGGGCAAGGAGAAGGCUGGGCUGCUAGGUCCUGGAAAAACAAAUGGAGGGGCUCCCUCUGUGCAAAAGAUGGUUGGUACUUGGAUGCCACCUCCUUGCACUGCCCUCAGUGAGGGCAUCGCUGGUCCUUGGGGAUGUGAAAGGCUGAACUGUGAGGGGAGCAGCACCCACAUCCCUGCAGCUUCAGCCAUGGCCCUGAGCACCAGCCCCCCUCCUAAUGGCUGUAUGCUCCUCUCCUGGCGGAGCAUAUGGCUCCCCUUAUGCUCCUGUCGUGUCCAAUCUCACACAGUGGCCCUAGUGCUCUUAAUCAGUAGGCAAGCACGUGGAUGCCUUGGUAAGUGAAAGGUUUGUACAGGGGAUGGAAGCAAUGUGUUGGUUCCCCCCCACACACAUCUUUAGUUUCUUAGGAAAUAAGUGCAAAGUGCAGCUCAGAGUGUCCCCGGAUGCAUUUCUCCUCUGUGCUGGGGUUGGAGCAUCCAAGUGAGGGAGAUCCCAGGAUGUGGGAACAGGAUGAGGAGGGGCAGUUUGGCAGGAGGAGGGUUAUUGCUCCCAGCGUACCCUACCAGCACCCACACGGCACCUCGGGGGCAGGAAGAAGGGCACACAUCAAAAAUGUAGGAAGUGCCUUGCUGGGAAAGAGUUGAGGUAAAGGGAGAAGCUACUCUAGCCAAUGUUUAAUAGAAAAAGCACUAAAGCUAGAGACAGCUAUAGAGAAAUAAGAAAUCCAUUUUUUAAUGGAUUUGACUGUGCUUUAGACUGGUUCCAAAAAGCUUGGAGUGAUCCAAUUAACAAGGUAAUGAGUUGCUGAGAUAUUUACACUGCUUCUGGACAAGGCUCUGGUCCAGGGUAUUAAUUUGCUUGGGAGGGGGUGCAUAUUGCAGAUAAGUUUCCAUUUUUUUCCUUGUGGUUAUAUUCAGACUCGGAUGUUUUUGGUUUUUUUCAAAGGACUCCCAUUAUUUCUGACUUAGGGUUUGUUCCCUGUGGGUGUCAGCUCCCCUUCAAAGGAAAGAAAGGGGCUUUUCUGGGGGCAGCAAGGCUUUGUGAUUACCCAGGGGAUUGCUGGGAGGUUGCAGGACUGAAAGGAAACCCAAAAGAAAGGACCUUCCUCCCAGGGUAGAACAUCACUAUUCCAGAUCAUUCUCUACUUUCUAUAUUUAUCAGGUGCUCUGAUGAAGCCCAGCUCUUAAGUUUUGGGGUAUUUUGGCACGAAGUCUUGGGGAGGAGGUGCAGGCAGGCUCUCCUAGAGCUCAAGAACCUCGUGGGGUUUUGCUGGCCUGUUAUCGGUAAUAGAAACAGUGGAAAAGCAACAUCUCCAGCAGCUUCAGGUUUCAUUUCUCCUUUAGCCCUUGGGUCUCCAAGGUAAACUAUUAUAUUGCCAAUAUUGAGUGCAGUGUUGUUUGAAAGUAGUAAGGCUGCAGAUCAUCAGAGGUCAGGUUGUAUUUGAUUUUGGCCAAUUGGCAAUUCCCUGUGUUUGCAUCUGUUCCUGGAAGUAAAUGUCUUCUUGCUUUCUGCACUAAUGCCAGCAGCAGCCAAAAGCUUCCCAGGCGCCUGGGUGAGGGCAGAUCUUUACCAGCACUGCCCUAAGCUGGGGAACAGAACCUGAGCCCCCAUUCCUGAGCUCUAAUGUUGAGCCUUUUCCAGCAUCUCUGACUGCCAUGCAGGAGAACCUGGAUCCAAGCCUCAGAUGGAGCAAAAAUAUUUGAACCUUGCGGAGAAAAAAAUGGGUUUUGUGCAUGUACCUCUCAGCUUGCAGCUGCCAUCUAUCAUCCUGCUGCUUCCUGCAGCACCUGGCUGGUCUGUACGUGUGUGUGGCCAAGGUUCCCAGGCACCUGGAGAAGGGGACAAGGUUAGUCUUCAGGAUCCAUGCAUGGAUGUGUUCUAGCCUCCACGAUGGAUUUGCACAGUGUGUUUCCUGGGCAAUGCAGGACUUGCCCCAUGAGGACAAACCAGCUGCCUUUGGGCACGAAGCCCAACCUGAGCAUGCUGAACACAUCAUCCUUUUGGUCCUGCUGGUGGUGUCAGUCCUUUGGGUGAUAUAUCUUGAGCACACUUAGCUGGUACGUUCCACCUGAAGUUUUGGUCAGAAAGUUCUUGCUGAGGGCAGUAGGGGAUGGCUCAAAAUGGCUGUAGGUUACUCAUGCAGGUCUAUCCCAGAACAUCCCCUGGGAAGAAUGGACAGUGCAUUGUCCUUUGAAAUCGAGUCCUCUGCCAAAAAUUACUUUGGUCAUUUAUUUUAAUUCCUCCAAGUCCUGAUAGUGUCAACUACUUCUUGGUUGAGCAUGACGUCCAUUUUGCUGUGUUACUUCUGCUUUGGAUGAAGACCUUGAGAGUGCAAAGUCCUGGCUAACUUCACCCAGGGCAGAACACGGGAUUGUGCUGCAGAAGUAUCCCACCUAGGAAAGGGGACUGACUUUAAGAGUAGAGGAUUGCUGCUGAGAAGCUGCUCUGACCCAGGAAACUAUGGAUUACCUGCAAGAUGUAUUGGAAUGGCUGUCAGCCAAGGGCUUCUCAGCCUUCCACUAAGGCAAAGAUAGGGAGGAUGGAGAAACUCCUUUGGAGCAAUUGCCAUGUCAGAAGAGCUAACACAGCUGGAAGCUUCCUGCUCACCAAGAGGUGCUGGCAAACCUCAAGCUUAGGCAUCAGAAUAGGGAAGUACAAGUCUCUGGGCCCUGUUGCUUGCAGGUAGCUGUAGCCACGGGAUUUUCUGGUAAGAACACCUCACUAAUUUGUUCCCCUGAUACUCCUUCCCAGAAUAAUUCAGCAUCAGGACUGCAGAGAUCAGUGUCCAAGGAGGGAUGCUCCCCUUGGUGGGGACAUCCUGAGCAGCAGUUGAACAUCUCACGUUUGGGAAAUGAUGGUCGAGUACGACUGUCCAAACAGUACUGCUGGAUGCGGAUCUUUCCACAGUGCCCUGCAGGAUCUUCUUCCUGCAUCUCUGAGUGAUGAUAGAGCUGGGAAGACCUUUAAAAAAGAUUGAUGACACACUAAGAAAAGAAGCUUUUUUUUUUUUUCUUUUUUUUCUCAUUUUAGUCUGAAGAGUUAGGUUUCCAAGCUUUGUUUUUCAGAUUUUAAAGAAAUACACACACCUAGGGGGAGGCAGGCAUGUUUCAUUAACAGUUCAGCACAGUCCAAAACAUGACAGCAAGCCUCCAUUUGAAAUUACCGACACACCGGAGCAGCCCUGCUGGGCUCCCUCUUUGCAGGACUGCCAGCAUCGCUGCGAACCCAAACACCCGGACGUGGAGGCUGCCUCUCCAUCUCCAUUAAGGCUCUUUUCAUGACACAGCUUAUUGUCAAGCACUGUUCGCAUCUCUUGCCUUCUGACCAAUAAUUGUUGCUGUUGGUUUGCUCUUAUCCCAUUUAUUAUAUAGGUUGUUUUAUGCGUUUUUAUUGCUUCUUUCACCUUUCAUCUAACCAAGGUGUAUUUUUCCAUUGCCUUUUUAACCAGUGCAGCUGGUAUGAACACAUUUAGAGCAUCUUUUAGAACGGUCUUCAACGACUCUAAAUUAAUCACUCAGAAAUAUUUCCUGUGAUUUUCCUACCAGUUCCUAAAUAUUUUCAGCUUGGGCACAGCAUGUGCCUGUCUUGGUGCCCAGGCACGUAUCACUUUUGGGCACAGCAAUAAAAUCAGGGCACGACAUACCAAGAUAGCUGCUAAUAAGGGUUUUAAUUUGGUAAUCAGUUCACCCUCAACCAUUAGAAAGGGGGCAAAGAUGGUAAUAUCCUGGAGGCAAUGAAUGCUUUGAGCCGGAAAAUAAUCAGGGUAUGUUUCUGAAGCUUCAAGGAUAUGUGAUUAAGAGCCACCCGAGGUCUCCCAGGAGCUGUGCCUGCAGCCACAGUAGUGUAGGGUGCAUUUAUCUCCCUUUAGGUAAAGCAAAACUCAAGUCACUCAAUCUACAUCACUCCCUUCAGGAUACAGUCUGGGGACAAGGAGGAGAAUUCUCCUCUUUUGGAAGAGAUCACUCAAAAAAUCCCCAGUCCAGGAGCUCUGCUUGAGGAGCAGCACGUUACCAUGCGCCGGGUGUUUUACGGUAGAUGCCGGGGGCUGGCUCCUGCCUCCUGGCACUUCCUUAGAGAGAAAAUAAAUCUUGAAUUACCUUGUUUUCAUUUCCAAUAAAACUGCAUGCUGACAGUUGCCUUGGAGCUAAUAAUCUGAUACGGUGCUGUGCAUCUGUGAGUGUUUGUAGCAUGGGUGUGCUGCUUCUGUGUUUGAGACUGACAGGGGCAGCGCUGUAUUGUUUUCCUCCUGCUAUAUUGUGUUCCCAGCACAUCACAAUAAAAAGAAAUGGGAAGGUAGGUGAUUUAUCAUAAUACAAAAAUGAAAGGUAUAAUAAUGUAAAUUAUGCACAUCAUUAGCCACAGUCGUUGCUCUACAGUGGACACAGGUUCUACAAGAAAAUCGCCCUUAGGAUGAAGCCAUGACAACUGUCUUUGAAGGGCUUCCUUGAAGAUGCUGGAAGACCAACAUGCUCUCUUCUCAUGAGGUUUGGAGAACUGGCUGAGAGUCCCAUCAGUGUAGUAACGGCUGCACAAGGCACAGGGUUGCACACUCCCCCUGUACCCCUGAACACGUCAAGCACUGUGGGUGGGAUUUGUAUGGUUACAGUGGACGUGGACCAGUUGCUCUUAUCCCCGUGUCUCCUCAAGGCAACUGAAGUCAAUGGCAUGACCCACUUCUUCCAACAGAUGGCAGAAUAAGGGUAGGUGAACUACAGGGCGCCCCAGCACAGGAGGCUCAGAACAGCCAUCUUGGGUAUCUCACUUCCAUCUCUAGCGUUGCUCGUGGUGAGUCCUAUCCCACACUGCUGUGUUCUCAAGAAAUAAAGGGGGGAGGAAAAAUCUAGCGAACUGAAUGCUCCUUCCUUCCCAAUUUCUCACCUUUCUGCUCAUGCUUUUCCCUCUUCAAAGAGGAGUUCCAACUUUUUCAUCACAUCACCUCCAUCACAGGGAAGUGGUGACACUUUGCAGCACAGAGUGGGAUUUCCCAGCCCCCCUCCUACCACCCAGAUUCCUAACGCUGGUUUACAGCAACUUAAACCUUCCUGUGCAGAAUUUUCCCCUGUAAAAAUUAGACCUCAUGAAAAUAAAUAAUUCCCACAGGAAAUUUCAAUUUGAUUACAAAUAUUGACUUGCUUGGGGGAAGUUUUUUCAAAAGAAAAAUCCAUUUGGAAUCAACAUUUUCAAAUUAAACAUGUAUGUUUCACUCUGUUAUAGUACUUAACUUGGAAAAACACCAAUUUUGUUUCCUGUGGUUGGGGAUUUUAGGAGUUGCUUCCAUCCAUAUUUUUCUGCAAGAGCUGAACAAAAGACAUGUUUUUAAAAAUAGGCAAAGCAGGGGGUGCGGGGGGGGGGAAGAUUUGUUUUAAUUGUGAAGGAUUAAAAAAUGUAGUGUAAAAUGUUGUAAAUCACUUUCAUGCUUCUAAAAGAAAAAAAAAAGCAUAAAUAUACGCAUUAAAAUGGAAUGAUUUAGUGAGGUUGUGGCAGCCAGAAGACAGAUGCGGGAAGGGCUUGGUGUUCCACCAGCAGACAGCAGAGCUGUGGCAUGGGCUCCCCAUUACUUCUGGGCUGAGCCCACGAGCAUGAGAGGAGUCUUCCCCUAGACUUACCGUUGAGGCACAGAGGCUGGAAGGUGUUUGUAGGGAUGACUGUCCUCAGUUUAGAGCUUUGUGCCAUAUCAAAGUUGUGCUUCAGACAUCCCUCUGUCAUUCUUGGGUUCGGCCCUGCUGGACAAAGCAAAACACAACAGCUCAAGAUGUGCAUUUUUGCCCAUUUUCCCUCAGAUUUGCUCUUUCCUCAUUGAGAGUGACCACCCCACUCUCGGAAACACAGAAGUCAAGCUGAAUUGCAUUGGAAACCUCGUGCAUUUCAGGAUGAGUGCUCAGGUGUGGACAGGUUGCUUCUGCCAUUUGUGGAUUAAAAAAAGCAUGUCCUACACUAGACAAGCAAUAAUAGAAAUUCAGGAAGACAGAAGAGAUGCGCACCCUGCCUCACUUUCUUCCCAGAGACUGGAGAGGCAGCCCCCUAUCCAGUGCACUUGCGUGAGGAAGAAGCUUUCCUGCCCUUGCCUGGCUGCAGCUCCCAGCAGGCACUGGCAGCCUGCACCUGAGGAGUGGCUGUGCCAGCAUAAGAAGCUCCGGUGACAGCCCCACAGUUGUGACAGUACAUCGGUAUUGGGACAGAAGGGGGAAGGAACUGCUUACAUCACAUACUGGCACUGGAAGCAGCACACUUGUAAUCAUGGCCUUUGUUAGAGGUAUGCAGUAAAGCAGGAAUUCCAUGCUGGAGUGACAGGCUUGAGUGCUCUUUUACCAGGCUCGUGGACACGAGGCUCCAGCCCUUCUGUGGGAGGAUGCUGCAACCUGAAUCACCAUCAGCAGCUCCUACCAAAUCUUGCAUGUUCUUACAGAAAGCUUCACUUUGAGCAAAUGACUUUAAAAAGAUCCCUAAAUUACUAAUUGAUUUUACCACAUUGCAGCUUAGUACGCUUUACACCAAAGGAUACAAAUGUCACCAUCAAAUUUAGCCCUUUUUAAGGGUUUCCAAUUCCCAUUUUAUUGUGGGCUUCUUAUGAAGUGUAUUUUAAAGACAGCUGCAUUAGAUUCCAAUUUUGCUUUUAAGUAGUGCUACCAAUCUAAUUAAGUCACCAUUCUCCAAGCUCACGCUGUAGAUGAGCAAUACAGUUUUCCAGAGGAUUUUAAGUCCUCCUGGGCCCCGUGGAGCCAAGUUUGUAUGUGCCUAAGCACACCAGAAAAUACCUGCACCCAUUAAAGAGCCAGGUGGAAAUACCCUGGGGACAGCCAGCCGAGCAACUCAAAAUAGAAACAAGGCUUUUCUUCUCCUGCAGCACAAAAUGAACGAUGAAAAUAUAUCCAAAAAAUUGGAAAAUGAAAGCAGGAUUGAAAGAGGAAUGUUUGGAAGCACACCACACAGCUUUAUUCUAAGCUAAACUUAUCUACAGUAGUAGCCAUGCUCAUAUUUUAGUACAACCUACGUUUUGCUUCCCCAUAUCAGAAAGCUGGAGAUGUUCUCCAGCAUUACUCUCCACAGUCCUGCAUAUCUUGUUGGCUACUCCUCUGAGACAUCCAAUCAACCUGACCACAUUCAUUCAUUAUUGAUUGCAUUCGGGAUCUCAUCUGCAACUUCAGUGAUGACUGAAAAACCCAAGGAGUCUGGAAUGAGCAAGAUAAGCUCGGCUGAAUGUGGUUGUUGGCAAUUCAAGUCUUCCAAAACCACAGGAGCAUUGCUCUAGUAAAGACCAGAAGCAGUACCUGAAUUCCAGUACUUAAAUCUUGAGCCCUGGAUAGAAGUAACUAGCUGCAAGCCCUGGGAAAUACAGGGCUACUGGUGGCUUGUAGUAUUUCCUUCGUUCAGUCAAUUCCAAGGUGCUGAAGACCAUGAACUAUGAACACCCAUGUUCUGGACAUAACUAGUGACUAGUUCUAUGACUAUCAUUAGUCUACCUUAAUAUUUAAAACUCCUAUACUGGAUUUCAAGCAGUACCUUCCUUUUUCCCUCCUUCUCAAAGCCUAGGCUGGGGUAUACCACGCUUUCCAUUCCUGAGAUCCAAACUGUGGAUUCCCCUUCAUGGUGUUCAGUGACCUCAGGAAGAGAUGCUGGUGGGGUGCAGACCAUUUUCUCACACUCUGUUCUGGCCUGGAAAUUCCCUUAUUGUCCUACUCUGCCUCCUCAGCACCAUUUACCUCUACCUGCAAUAGGAAGGUCAGGGCCUCUAUUGCUUUUGACAGUUGAAUGAGCCUUCGUAAUUCUGCUUGGCAGGACACCGUCUUCCCAUCAGCCUUCCAGAAGUUUUUAAUUAAUUUAUACCUUUUGACCUACACAACAGCCUCUGGCGAUAAGUUCUACAAUUUAAUAAUAUGUUAUAUGAGAAUGUAUGACUUUUUGUUUUAGACCUGAUGCCUAAUAAUUUCAUGGGACAUUCUUUACUUCUAUUCUGAAAAACAGUAGCCAUCCCUUCUUCAUUAUUUCCUAGCUAGGUAGGAAAUUUCAACAUCUCUGUCCCAGGUCUAUCUAUUUUCUCUGUCCUGAUAUGAAAACCAUUCCGCCUUUCUCAUAUACUCUCCGUGGGUGGAAUUCAGAUUAAAACGCUUUGAUUUAGUGGUGGAGUUAAGGUAUCUACCUCACAGAUUGACACCUACAGAUAGAAACCUAAAUUUAGGUGUCUAGAUCUCUGAGCUAAAUAACUCCCACCCAUCAUUUUUAGUUCUAUCUUCUAUGAGACAGGAUGAACAGAAGUGCACAUAUUAAUCAAUAUGUGGGUUUGUCAAACAUUUAUAUAGUGACAUAAUCAUAUAAUCAUGUUUUUCUUCUCCUUUUUUUCUUUUUCAAAAUUUCUGUCAUUCAGUUUGAAUUUUUGAUUGCUGCUGGUCAUUACAUCAGUGCUUUCAGAGAGCUAUCCUACAGUCACUCUAUUUCUGAGUGAUAAUAACUUAAUGUUCGAUCCAUAACUGAAUAAGUAUAAUACAUGAUUGAAUAUGUAUAUUCCCAGAGAAACUACUUUGCAUUUAUUAGCAUUGACUUUCACAUGCCAUUUCUGACACAGUCACUCACUAUCAUGAGAACCACCUGCCUCUCUUCACAGGGUUAGAUUUGACUCUCUCAGUUAAUUUUGCAUCAUCCGCAAACCUUGCCAGUACAUUAUUGAAAAGCACAGGUCCUAACUCUUCACAGUUGCAUGACCAAAUCAUAAUGCUCCUUUCAGUAGGAACACUGAUGUUUUCCCCCAGUUUUUGUCCUAUUUCUCUGUCUUAUUUACCUACAAGAGGACACCUUUUUUUUUUUUUUUUUUUUUAUCUCAGCAUAACUACUUUAAGAGCCUUUGCAGGAAGACUUAUUGACAUUUGUUUGGGAGUCCUUACACACUAUAUCAACUAGAUCAGCCUUACCU
Gallus gallus (chicken) is the source of this 18752-nucleotide long non-coding RNA. The record is from Ensembl. NCBI's taxonomy places the organism in Eukaryota, Metazoa, Chordata, Aves, Galliformes, Phasianidae.